UUGACCUUGGAUCAGGUAAGACUACCCGCUUAACUUUAGCAUAUCCAUUAACCGAAGAAAAGGAACCCACAAGGAUUGCCCCAGGAACGGGCAAUUAAACGGCCACAGGUCAGAUUUGGAAUCUGGCCCCUAGGGCCCGAGUUGUAAUCUGGAGAGGAUGUUUCUGGCGCGGCGCCUUCCGAGUUCCCUGGAACGGGACGCCGGAGAGGGUGAGAGCCCCGUACGGUUGGACGCCUAGCCUUUGUGAAGCUCCUUCGACGAGUCGAGUAGUUUGGGAAUGCUGCUCAAAAUGGGAGGUGUUUCUUCUAAAGCUAAAUACCGGCCAGAGACCGAUAGUGCACAAGUAGAGUGAUCGAAAGAUGAUAAGCACUUUAAAGAGGGUCGUUCAGUACGUGAUAUUGUUGAAAGGAAAG
RNAcentral lists this ribosomal RNA (413 nucleotides) under Leptographium douglasii. RNAcentral describes it as "eukaryotic LSU rRNA". It matches the Rfam family "Eukaryotic large subunit ribosomal RNA", at positions 1 to 419 of the family's 3401-position model. Lineage: Eukaryota; Fungi; Ascomycota; Sordariomycetes; Ophiostomatales; Ophiostomataceae. The record is from RNAcentral.